UCGAACGGGAAAGGGGAGCAAUCCCUGAGUAGAGUGGCGUACGGGUGAGUAACACGUGGGUAAUCUACCUCUUAGUGGGGAACAACUCUGGGAAACCGGAGCUAAUACCGCAUAAGCUCGAGAGAGGAAAGCAGCAAUGCGCUGAGAGAGGAGCCCGCGGCCGAUUAGUUAGUUGGUGAGGUAACGGCUCACCAAGGCGAAGAUCGGUAGCCGGCCUGAGAGGGCACACGGCCACACUGGCACUGAAACACGGGCCAGACUCCUACGGGAGGCAGCAGUGGGGAAUCUUGCACAAUGGGGGAAACCCUGAUGCAGCGACGCCGCGUGAGCGAUGAAGCCCUUCGGGGUGUAAAGCUCUUUCGGCAGGGAAGAUAAUGACGGUACCUGCAGAAGCAGCUGCGGCUAACUACGUGCCAGCAGCCGCGGUAAUACGUAGGCAGCAAGCGUUGUUCGGAGUUACUGGGCGUAAAGGGUGUGUAGGCGGCUUUUUAAGUUUGGUGUGAAAUCUCCCGGCUCAACCGGGAGGGCGCGCCGAAUACUGAAAGGCUCGAGUGCGGGAGAGGAGAGUGGAAUUCCUGGUGUAGCGGUGAAAUGCGUAGAUAUCAGGAGGAACACCGGUGGUGUAGACGGCUCUCUGGACCGUAACUGACGCUGAGACACGAAAGCGUGGGUAGCAAACAGGAUUAGAUACCCUGGUAGUCCACGCCCUAAACGAUGCAUAUUUGGUGUGGGUCAUUCAGUUGAUCCGUGCCGGAGCUAACGCGUUAAAUAUGCCGCCUGGGGAGUACAGUCGCAAGGCUGAAACUCAAAGGAAUUGACGGGGGCCCGCACAAGCGGUGGAGCAUGUGGUUCAAUUCGACGCA
RNAcentral lists this ribosomal RNA (863 nucleotides) under uncultured soil bacterium. Its description in RNAcentral is "bacterial SSU rRNA". It matches the Rfam family "Bacterial small subunit ribosomal RNA", at positions 62 to 958 of the family's 1533-position model. The record is from RNAcentral.